Molecule: non-coding RNA, 444 nt
Organism: Equus quagga
Lineage: Eukaryota; Metazoa; Chordata; Mammalia; Perissodactyla; Equidae
Source: the annotation of a RefSeq genome assembly
AUGGAGAACAUGCUGGAAUGUGCCUUCAUAGUCUUGUGGCUUCAGUUUGGCUGGUUGAGUGCAGAAGACCAGGUGGAGCAGCGUCCUCAGACCCUGAGACUCCAGGAGGGAGACAGUCUCAGCCUCGGCUGCAGUUACACGGUCAGCUCUUUUAGAGGGCUGCAGUGGUACAGGCAGGAUCCUGGGAAAGGCCCUGAACUGCUCUUCCUCCUGUAUUCAGUUGGGGAAUCAAAGCAGAAAGAAAGACUAAAAGCCACACUGUCAAAGAUGGGAAGUUCUCUGCACAUCACAGACUCCAAACCUGAAGACUCAGCCACUUACCUCUGUGCUGUGGAGACACAGUGCUCCCCAGGCACCUGCAAGCCUGCACCAAAACCCUGCAGCUGGGGCUCUAGAAUAAGGGCAUCUCUGUGGUUUUUCCUCCUCAAAGAAUUUUUUGCUUAG